ACUUGUGCUCUCCCGAUCUCAGUAUCGUAGCCAAUGAGGUUUAUCCAAGGCGCGAUCAUUGCUAAUUGAAAACCAAGUGGAAAAGGGUAAUACUAAAGGGGAAGGAAAACAGUGUCUCCACAUUUUUAUGGAGUUCAGUGAGGCUUUUGCAUUUUCAGGACCAGACCCAUUUUGGUACCAAGAGGAUUGCGCCACUUCUGUGGUGUUGGUGCCUGGAAAAGAUUUGGCGCCUAGGGAAGUGCUGGUCCGGAGAGCCCAGCAUGAUCAGGCAGCAAGGCCUGCUGGGACAUGGAGGGAAGAGACCCAUCGGGACCAGCAGAGGCAGCAGUGAGGCCCUUUCCUGCCAGCUGACAGGCAGUGAAGGCCUAGCAGUGGACAUUGCUGGGAGAGACCAGAGCAGGAGAGGAAGGAAAUGGGUGAUGCCUUGACAGGACAUGUUUCUGAGCCCAGGAGGACAGCUGAGGGAGAGUCCCGGAAAGAAUUAUGGGGAUAAGGUAGAGUUUACACUGAAGAGAUACUACCAUAGCUGAUAAGAGGCAGGGAUGGGAGAUACCUAGGUUGUUACUAUUAUAUGUAACCUCGUUUUAAGUCCUGGGCUUAGAUAACAAGGUUAUUUAUCUUUGUCUGCGUAUAUGCUUCUCCUGUAAAUGCCCUUUCAUAGGUGGAUGGAGCUCAUUACCAAGCAUCCCUGAACACUGUCCCCAUCCUUCCCCAUUGCCUUGACAUUUUGUUUUUUGGUUUUUUUUCUUCAUGUUGUCUCCUUUCCUGCCUACUCUUUUCUUGAUCCCUUGAGUAUAUAUCGAGCCUGAGGACUCAUGAACUCUUCGGCUGCUCUGUUAUCUGUGUCUUCUAUUUCCUCCGAGGUUCCUCUUCAGUCUUCCAUAACCUUCUCUGUCCCUAUCCCUGCUACUAGCAAGGCAUCCCCCCACACCCCUGACACCCCCAUCCCCCACUGCCAUGCCCUCCGGCUUCCUCCCAACACUUAACAUUAGCAAAACAACAACAACAAAAAGAAUAAUUAAGGUGGGUAUAGUGGAUUGACUAGUGGUCCACCCUUUCCACUAAGCAUUGUUUCAUGAAAUUUGGUUUUGGAUUAUGUAUGUAUAUGCGUAUCUACACGUGCACAUGAUUUAAUAUAGGUCACACAGCUCAGCCCAGGCUAAUACCUGGUACCUCAGAAUGGGAUCUUAUUUGGAGGAAAGGUCUUUGCAAAUGUAAUUAGGGUGAGGAUCUUGAGAUGAGGUCAUCCUGGAGCAGAGUGGGCCCUGAAUCCAAUGAUAAGUGCCCUUAUCAGAGGAGAAAAGGAGGUGAGACAGGAAAGAAGGCCAUGUGAACACAGAGGCAGAGAUUAGAGUUCUGUUGAGGUAAACUGAGGAAGGCCACUGGACACUGGAACAGGCAAGGAAGGAUUCUCCCCUCCAGAAGGAGUGUGAUUCUGCUGGAGUCUCCAGAAGGAGUGUGCCUCCAGAAGGAGUGUGACUCUGCUGGACCUUUAAUUUCAGACUUUAGGCUUUUAGAACUGUGAGAAAAUACAUUCUAUUGUUUAAGCCACCAAGUUUGUGGGAAUUUGAUGCAGCAGCCCUGAAAAAUUCAGACAGUGGGAGACCAAACAGCAUGAAAGGAACAUUUAUUUCAAAACUGGUGAAUGUUUUAAAUAGAAAAAAGUAUUGGGGG
Long non-coding RNA from Mustela erminea (ermine), 1674 nucleotides. RefSeq lists it as uncharacterized. The record is from RefSeq and is a predicted model, not a curated record. The transcript is spliced from 4 exons. NCBI's taxonomy places the organism in Eukaryota, Metazoa, Chordata, Mammalia, Carnivora, Mustelidae.